RNAcentral lists this long non-coding RNA (223 nucleotides) under Lathyrus oleraceus (garden pea). RNAcentral's name for it is "Pisum sativum (pea) long non-coding RNA (PSAT_LNC000571)". Lineage: Eukaryota; Viridiplantae; Streptophyta; Magnoliopsida; Fabales; Fabaceae. The record is from RNAcentral.
AUGAAUGAAACGUGAGGUAAAGGUAUUAACAUGAUAUUAUUUAAUGGAUGGUAUGUAAGCUUUUGUACAUGAUCCUCUGUUGGGGAUUAGUUAAGAUGUCUGUGGGGAGAAUGGGUUAGCUGCAAAGAGAGUGUGUUAGACAUGCAUGAUGUAUGCAAUAUGCCAGGUAUGCAGUGCAUGACAAAUAUUUUUUUUCUCUUUUAUUUUAUCUAUCUUUCUCUUU